AGUGAGGGAAACCCAGCAACAAGGAGAGAAGAGGAGCCGAGGGGAGCGGCCACUGCUGGCCAGGGCCAGCGCUGGAAGGAGGCCAAAUAAUGAAGGAACGAGACCAAGAGUCUCUUCUGAUACUUUAUUCUUUGGACGGGUUGAAGAUGAAAAGACCAGGAAGGGUCGACUGCAGAGUCGUCAGCCCAUCACUUCUCUGCUCCUCUCCCUCCCCACCUACGGUGAGAUGGCAGAGCAAUCCAACCAGAAGAGCCCUACAGCACGCAGUGCAGGAAGGGGCCUCACUCACCAGAACG
Mesocricetus auratus (golden hamster) is the source of this 296-nucleotide long non-coding RNA. RefSeq lists it as uncharacterized. The record is from RefSeq and is a predicted model, not a curated record. The transcript is spliced from 3 exons. Lineage: Eukaryota; Metazoa; Chordata; Mammalia; Rodentia; Cricetidae.